This 72-nucleotide transfer RNA is filed under the name Parcubacteria group bacterium. RNAcentral's name for it is "tRNA-Trp". It matches the Rfam family "tRNA". From Rfam's summary of the family: Transfer RNA (tRNA) molecules are approximately 80 nucleotides in length. Their secondary structure includes four short double-helical elements and three loops (D, anti-codon, and T loops). The record is from RNAcentral. RNAcentral also lists the same sequence under 1 other name.
GGGUCCGUCGGUUAAUUGGCAAACCACUGGUCUCCAAAACCAGAACUGCAGGUUCGAGUCCUGCCGGACCCG